This 348-nucleotide unclassified non-coding RNA is filed under the name soil metagenome. RNAcentral describes it as "partial contains 5.8S ribosomal RNA, internal transcribed spacer 2, and large subunit ribosomal RNA". The stretch from base 1 to 120 matches the Rfam family "5.8S ribosomal RNA", at positions 35 to 154 of the family's 154-position model. The record is from RNAcentral.
GAUGAAGAACGUAGCGAAAUGCGAUAAGUAAUGUGAAUUGCAGAAUUCAGUGAAUCAUCGAAUCUUUGAACGCACAUUGCGCCCAUCAGUAUUCUGUUGGGCAUGCCUGUCCGAGCGUCAUUUCAACCCUCAGGGCCCGUUCGCGGGAACUGGUGUUGGGGAUCGGCCUCCCCCCGGAGGCCGGCCCCGAAAUGCAGUGGCGGCUCUACCGCGAUCUCCUCUGUGUAGUAGCGAUACCUCGCAGCUGGAUAGUGGUGGUGCCACGCCGUAAAAUCCCAACUUUGCCAAGGUUGACCUCGGAUCAGGUAGGAAUACCCGCUGAACUUAAGCAUAUCAAUAAGCGGAGGA